This 372-nucleotide ribosomal RNA is filed under the name uncultured organism. RNAcentral's name for it is "partial 16S ribosomal RNA". It matches the Rfam family "Bacterial small subunit ribosomal RNA", at positions 527 to 896 of the family's 1533-position model. The record is from RNAcentral.
GUAGGUGGCAAGCGUUGCCCGGAAUUAUUGGGCGUAAAGCGCGCGCAGGCGGUUCUUUAAGUCUGAUGUGAAAGCCCACGGGCUCAACCGUGGAGGGUCAUUGGAAACUGGAGAACUUGAGUACAGAAGAGGAAAGCGGAAUUCCACGUGUAGCGGUGAAAUGCGUAGAGAUGUGGAGGAACACCAGUGGCGAAGGCGGCUUUCUGGUCUGUAACUGACGCUGAGGCGCGAAAGCGUGGGGAGCAAACAGGAUUAGAUACCCUGGUAGUCCACGCCGUAAACGAUGAGUGCUAAGUGUUAGGGGGUUUCCGCCCCUUAGUGCUGCAGCUAACGCAUUAAGCACUCCGCCUGGGGAGUACGGCCGCAAGGCUG